AUGCAGUCGACGGCAGCGCGGGGCAACCUGGCGGCGAGUGGCGAACGGGUGAGUAAUAUAUCGGAACGUACCCAAGAGUGGGGGAUAACGUAGCGAAAGUUACGCUAAUACCGCAUACGAUCUAAGGAUGAAAGCAGGGGACCGCAAGGCCUUGUGCUCCUGGAGCGGCCGAUAUCUGAUUAGCUAGUUGGUAGGGUAAAGGCCUACCAAGGCUACGAUCAGUAGCUGGUCUGAGAGGACGACCAGCCACACUGGAACUGAGACACGGUCCAGACUCCUACGGGAGGCAGCAGUGGGGAAUUUUGGACAAUGGGCGCAAGCCUGAUCCAGCAAUGCCGCGUGAGUGAAGAAGGCCUUCGGGUUGUAAAGCUCUUUUGUCAGGGAAGAAACGGUGGGGGCUAAUAUCCUCCACUAAUGACGGUACCUGAAGAAUAAGCACCGGCUAACUACGUGCCAGCAGCCGCGGUAAUACGUAGGGUGCAAGCGUUAAUCGGAAUUACUGGGCGUAAAGCGUGCGCAGGCGGUUUUGUAAGUCUGAUGUGAAAUCCCCGGGCUCAACCUGGGAAUUGCAUUGGAGACUGCAAGGCUAGAAUCUGGCAGAGGGGGGUAGAAUUCCACGUGUAGCAGUGAAAUGCGUAGAGAUGUGGAGGAACACCGAUGGCGAAGGCAGCCCCCUGGGUCAAGAUUGACGCUCAUGCACGAAAGCGUGGGGAGCAAACAGGAUUAGAUACCCUGGUAGUCCACGCCCUAAACGAUGUCUACUAGUUGUCGGGUUUUAAUUAACUUGGUAACGCAGCUAACGCGUGAAGUAGACCGCCUGGGGAGUACGGUCGCAAGAUUAAAACUCAAAGGAAUUGACGGGGACCCGCACAAGCGGUGGAUGAUGUGGAUUAAUUCGAUGCAACGCGAAAAACCUUUACCUACCCUUGACAUGUACGGAAGCCACGAGAGAUCGAGGUGUGCUCGAAAGAGAACCGUAACACAGGUGCUGCAUGGCUGUCGUCAGCUCGUGUCGUGAGAUGUUGGGUUAAGUCCCGCAACGAGCGCAACCCUUGUCAUUAGUUGCUACGAAAGAGCACUCUAAUGAGACUGCCGGUGACAAACCGGAGGAAGGUGGGGAUGACGUCAAGUCCUCAUGGCCCUUAUGGGUAGGGCUUCACACGUCAUACAAUGGUACAUACAGAGGGCCGCCAACCCGCGAGGGGGAGCUAAUCCCAGAAAGUGUAUCGUAGUCCGGAUUGUAGUCUGCAACUCGACUACAUGAAGUUGGAAUCGCUAGUAAUCGCGGAUCAGCAUGUCGCGGUGAAUACGUUCCCGGGUCUUGUACACACCGCCCGUCACACCAUGGGAGCGGGUUUUACCAGAAGUAGGUAGCUUAACCGCAAGGAGGGCGCUACCACG
This 1401-nucleotide ribosomal RNA is filed under the name Massilia sp. Its description in RNAcentral is "bacterial SSU rRNA". It matches the Rfam family "Bacterial small subunit ribosomal RNA". Lineage: Bacteria; Pseudomonadati; Pseudomonadota; Betaproteobacteria; Burkholderiales; Oxalobacteraceae. The record is from RNAcentral.